UCCAAUCUACCAGUGAGGUCCACGUGGGAUUAGCUGGAGGGAGCUAUGAAGUCAAGCGGCAAGCGGCAUCAGGUCUCCUAUGUGGGCUUCAGUGCCCACCACCUUGAAAGCUUAUUCCCUCAACUCCAUGAGCACCUCAGAGUCAAACUUCCGGAAAAUCUCCCUCCUUGCUCAGGACAGCCUCUUUGCACCCUAGCCUCUGUCCCAGCACCUGCUAGCAUCGCUCUCACAGCAGGAGCUGCCCUGCUCUUCUCACCAAGAUGCUGCCAGUGUAGCUCGGCCGAAGCCCUGCACCACACUGGAGUCCCGCUCUCCCCAGAGCGCCGGCCCUGCUGUGUGCUGCUCCUCCCUUUCUCUGCAACUCCCUCCAGGGCCUCUGAGGUUCUUUCUUGUGGCUGCUCCAUAAAACUUGGCGAUGGCCCGUGUUCCACUUCUACCC
This 439-nucleotide long non-coding RNA is filed under the name Rhinopithecus bieti (black snub-nosed monkey). RNAcentral describes it as "lncRNA (ENSRBIG00000045599.1)". Lineage: Eukaryota; Metazoa; Chordata; Mammalia; Primates; Cercopithecidae. The record is from RNAcentral.